UAUUCUUAUGUAUUACAUGAAUAUCUUUUAAUUAAUCUUUCAUUUCUUUAUUAAAAGAAACUACAAGUUGUUAAAGACAGUGGGCAUGACAUCUAAAUGCAAAAGAAUAGAAAUUUGUUGGGGAUGGCAAUCUUGGCACAAGAAGAAAGGAUAAUCUGACGAGGAACCAUGGUUGGCCAGCAAAUCAACACAAGCAUUUUCCUCCCUGAAGUUAUGACGAAUUAUGGAAAGGAGCACAACAUAAGAAUGAUGUUGAUUUUGACCACCCUUAACAAGUCUCCAAACCGGAACUGCCUGGAUUGUCUCUAGAGCUAGCUACCAUCCACGUUAAUCUUCACAACGUUUGUUGCUGGAGCAGCCAAAGUAGAUGUUGGUGCCUGCUUGCUAAGAAGGUUGUUGAAGGUAGAUGUAAGAUCAUCGAUCUGGCCAUAUUUUAUCCUUCAACACCUCAAUGUUGCGAGCCUUCCAAACCUUAAUAGUAAAACGAAUCCCAUAAUCAGUGCUUGCAUGGGUACAAAGCCACUACUCAAACACACAUCAUCUCUAGGUUGGACACAAUCUUCUAUUCCCAUCAUUACCCAUAUUCUUCUGGCUUUGAAACAAUGGAAGACAAUAUGCAUGAUUGUUUCCUGAUGAAUGUCACACCUGCAACAAAAAUUAUCAACAGCAAUGUCUCUAUAGACACGAAAUACGUUAAAAAAAGCAAUAAGAAUUUAUGUAAUUUUACGAAAUUUAUCUUAUAUUUACAUAACAAUUUUUUUUUUUUUUAUACUGUGUUAACAUAAUUUUUUAUUGGCUAACGGAUUUGGUCUUCUAAUCUAUUUUCUUAAUACUCUAAUUAUUAAAUGAUUCAAUUUAAUCCUUUAAUUUUUAAAAUUAGUUCAAUUAAAAUUUUCUGUCUAAAUUUGGUUAAUGACGUUAAUGCAAUGGGGACUCGCUUUUACGCUUUCUGGCGAGUAGUUUUCACAUACGGAGCGUUUUAAAACGCCACAAUUUCUUUAUUUGAUUUUAUAAUAAUUCAUAGCCUUGUUUGUAGACUGGUCAUGAAGAAGUUGCAGAUCUCCCUCGUUCGUAGUAGGGUUUUGACGACGGUGGCUCGGAUUCAAUGUUGCGUGUUGACGGCAACUGAGCGAAAGAGUUAAGGUUUGCAGAACCCUCAUUCUCGACGACGGAGCGGUUGUCGAUUUCUCUCGUUCGCGACAGCAGUUGACACAAAUCUGGUGUCGUAGUUGUAGAUCCGCCAUGAACGAGUAGAGGGUUGCUACUAGGAGGGUCUCUUCCUUCUAGAGUCUCCUCUUCUUUGUGGCGAGUCAAUCACGCUGCUUCCACUUAUGUUUCUCAAAAGCAGAUCUAAUGCUAUAGAAAAUAUAUUUAUUUCUUUUUUCUGGAGGUUGGGGAUUUCAUUGAACCAAUUUAUUGUGUGGGGGUGUCGAAGAGUGACGAGGUAGGUGCUAUAGGAAUUGUAGUUUGGGUCUGGGUGGGGUGUCGAAGCUGAAGGGGUUUGGGUUUAU
Molecule: long non-coding RNA, 1511 nt
Filed under: Glycine max (soybean)
Lineage: Eukaryota; Viridiplantae; Streptophyta; Magnoliopsida; Fabales; Fabaceae
Description: long non-coding RNA (GMAX_LNC004452)
Source: RNAcentral